UGGGGAAUUUUGCACAAUGGGGGAAACCCUGAUGCAGCGACGCCGCGUGAUUUAGAAGGCCUUCGGGUUGUAAAAAUCUUUUCUAUGGGAAGAAAAUGACAGUACCAUAGGAAUAAGGACCGGCUAAUUACGUGCCAGCAGCCGCGGUAAUACGUAAGGUCCGAGCGUUGUCCGGAAUCAUUGGGCGUAAAGGGUACGUAGGCGGGUAAGCAAGUUAGAAGUGAAAUCCUAUAGCUCAACUAUAGUAAGCUUUUAAAACUGCUCAUCUUGAGGUAUGGAAGGGAAAGUGGAAUUCCUAGUGUAGCGGUGAAAUGCGCAGAUAUUAGGAGGAAUACCGUUGGCGAAGGCGACUUUCUGGCCAUAACCUGACGCUGAGGUACGAAAGCGUGGGUAGCAAACAGG
This 402-nucleotide ribosomal RNA is filed under the name bacterium. RNAcentral describes it as "partial 16S ribosomal RNA". It matches the Rfam family "Bacterial small subunit ribosomal RNA", at positions 355 to 776 of the family's 1533-position model. The record is from RNAcentral.